This 445-nucleotide ribosomal RNA is filed under the name uncultured bacterium. RNAcentral's name for it is "bacterial SSU rRNA". It matches the Rfam family "Bacterial small subunit ribosomal RNA", at positions 331 to 792 of the family's 1533-position model. The record is from RNAcentral.
CCAGACUCCUACGGGAGGCAGCAGUGGGGAAUAUUGCACAAUGGGGGAAACCCUGAUGCAGCGACGCCGCGUGAGCGAGGAAGUAUUUCGGUAUGUAAAGCUCUGUCAGCAGGGAAGAAGAAUGACGGUACCUGAAGAAGAAGCACCGGCUAAAUACGUGCCAGCAGCCGCGGUAAUACGUAUGGUGCAAGCGUUAUCCGGAUUUACUGGGUGUAAAGGGAGCGCAGGCGGUUCUGCAAGUCUGAUGUGAAAGCCCGGGGCUCAACCGCGGGACUGCAUUGGAAACUGCGGGACUGGAGUGUCGGAGGGGUAAGCGGAAUUCCUGGUGUAGCGGUGAAAUGCGUAGAUAUUAGGAGGAACACCAGUGGCGAAGGCGGUCUGCUGGACAGCAACUGACGCUGAGGCGCGAAAGCGUGGGGAGCAAACAGGAUUAGAUCCCCCAGUA